This 22-nucleotide microRNA is filed under the name Branchiostoma floridae (Florida lancelet). RNAcentral describes it as "Bfl-Mir-10-P9_3p* (star (passenger))". The record is from RNAcentral. Lineage: Eukaryota; Metazoa; Chordata; Leptocardii; Amphioxiformes; Branchiostomatidae.
CAAAUCCGAUUUACAGGAUAGG